This 468-nucleotide ribosomal RNA is filed under the name uncultured bacterium. RNAcentral's name for it is "partial 16S ribosomal RNA". It matches the Rfam family "Bacterial small subunit ribosomal RNA", at positions 28 to 507 of the family's 1533-position model. The record is from RNAcentral.
GACGAACGCUGGCGGCGUGCUUAACACAUGCAAGUCGAACGGAAAGGCCCUGCGCUUGUGGGGUGCUCGAGUGGCGAACGGGGGAGUAAAACGUGAGUAACCCGUCCCUGACUUUGGGAUAAAAUCAGGAAACUGGGGCUAAUACCGGAGAGGAGCUCUUGAUGCACGGGGGGGGUUGGAAAGUGUCGGCGGUUGGGGAUGGAAUCGCGGGUUAUCAGCUGGUUGGGGGGGUAGGGGCUUACCACGGUUUUGACGGGUAGCCGGCCUGGGAGGGUGGCCGGCCACAUUAGGACUAAGGUAGGGCCCAGACUCCUACGGGAGGCAGCGGUGGGGAAUAUUGCACAAUGGGCGGAAGCCUGAUGCAGCAACGCCGCGUGCGGGAUGCCGGCCUUCGGGUGGUAAACCGCUUUCGACUGUGACGAAGCGUGAGUGACGGUAAUGGGUAAAGAAGCACCGGCUAACUACGUG